CAUAUCAAUAAGCGGAGGAAAAGAAACUAACAAGGAUUCCCCUAGUAACUGCGAGUGAAGCGGGAAAAGCUCAAAUUUAAAAUCUGUCAGUCUUUGGCUGUCCGAGUUGUAAUCUAGAGAAGCGUUAUCCGCGCUGGACCGUGUACAAGUCUCCUGGAAUGGAGCGUCAUAGAGGGUGAGAAUCCCGUCUUUGACACGGACUGCCAGGGCUUUGUGAUGCGCUCUCAAAGAGUCGAGUUGUUUGGGAAUGCAGCUCAAAAUGGGUGGUAAAUUCCAUCUAAAGCUAAAUAUUGGCGAGAGACCGAUAGCGAACAAGUACCGUGAGGGAAAGAUGAAAAGAACUUUGGAAAGAGAGUUAAACAGUACGUGAAAUUGCUGAAAGGGAAACGCUUGAAGUCAGUCGCGUUGUCCAGGGAUCAACCUUGCUUUUGCUUUGUGUACUCUCUGGUUGACGGGUCAGCAUCAAUUUUGACCAUUGGAAAAAGAUUAAGGGAAUGUGGCAUCCUUGGAUGUGUUAUAGCCCUUGGUUGCAUACAAUGGUUGGGAUUGAGGAACUCAGCACGCCGAAAGGCCGGGUUUUAACCACGUACGUGCUUAGGAUGCUGGCAUAAUGGCUUUAAUCGACCCGUCUUGAAACACGGACCAAGGAGUCUAACAUGCCUGCGAGUGUUUGGGUGGAAAACCCGAGCGCGUAAUGAAAGUGAAAGUUGAGAUCCUUGUCAUGGGGAGCAUCGACGCCCGGACCAGACCUUUUGUGACGGUUCCGCGGUAGAGCAUGUAUGUUGGGACCCGAAAGAUGGUGAACUAUGCCUGAAUAGGGUGAAGCCAGAGGAAACUCUGGUGGAGGCUCGUAGCGAUUCUGACGUGCAAAUCGAUCGUCAAAUUUGGGUAUAGGGGCGAAAGACUAAUCGAACCAUCUAGUAGCUGGUUCCUGCC
This is a ribosomal RNA of 936 nucleotides. It matches the Rfam family "Eukaryotic large subunit ribosomal RNA", at positions 39 to 962 of the family's 3401-position model.